GUGCUCGCUUCGGCAGCACAUACACUAAAAUUGGAACAAUACAGAGAAAGAUUAGCGUGACCACCGCGCAAGGUUGACACACAAAUUUGUGAAGCGUUCCAUAUUUUG
This 108-nucleotide small nuclear RNA is filed under the name Choloepus hoffmanni (Hoffmann's two-fingered sloth). Lineage: Eukaryota; Metazoa; Chordata; Mammalia; Pilosa; Megalonychidae. The record is from RNAcentral.